GUGGGGAAUAUUGGACAAUGGGGGCAACCCUGAUCCAGCAAUGCCGCGUGUGUGAAGAAGGCCUUCGGGUUGUAAAGCACUUUUGUCCGGAAAGAAAACCGCCUGGCUAAUAUCCGGGUGGGAUGACGGUACCGGAAGAAUAAGCACCGGCUAACUACGUGCCAGCAGCCGCGGUAAUACGUAGGGUGCAAGCGUUAAUCGGAAUUACUGGGCGUAAAGCGUGCGCAGGCGGUUCGCUAAGACAGAUGUGAAAUCCCCGGGCUUAACCUGGGAACUGCAUUUGUGACUGGCGGGCUAGAGUAUGGCAGAGGGGGGUAGAAUUCCACGUGUAGCAGUGAAAUGCGUAGAGAUGUGGAGGAAUACCGAUGGCGAAGGCAGCCCCCUGGGCCAAUACUGACGCUCAUGCACGAAAGCGUGGGGAGCAAAC
RNAcentral lists this ribosomal RNA (427 nucleotides) under uncultured bacterium. RNAcentral describes it as "bacterial SSU rRNA". It matches the Rfam family "Bacterial small subunit ribosomal RNA", at positions 354 to 773 of the family's 1533-position model. The record is from RNAcentral.